ACCUCCCUUAGGGAUCUGUCAGCAUGAAGGUGGGGAUGGAUGUCCAAGGCUGUGAAUGUGGCUCCUGGGGGCGGGCCCAGCAGAUGCCAGAAUCAAGGCAGAGAGGAAGAAUCACAAAGAGCCUGGGGCUGGCUGGAAUUUUCUCCCGUGCAGUCGUCCAGCCUCCCGUGGCAGGGAGCGGCAUCUCA
RNAcentral lists this long non-coding RNA (188 nucleotides) under Homo sapiens (human). RNAcentral's name for it is "novel transcript". The record is from RNAcentral. Lineage: Eukaryota; Metazoa; Chordata; Mammalia; Primates; Hominidae.